Non-coding RNA from Ictidomys tridecemlineatus (thirteen-lined ground squirrel), 69 nucleotides. NCBI's taxonomy places the organism in Eukaryota, Metazoa, Chordata, Mammalia, Rodentia, Sciuridae. The record is from Rfam.
GGGGUUAUGGCUCAGUGGUAGAGCACUCACCUAGCACUUGUGAGGCUUUGGGUUCAAUCCUCAGUACCA